This 440-nucleotide ribosomal RNA is filed under the name uncultured bacterium. RNAcentral describes it as "partial 16S ribosomal RNA". It matches the Rfam family "Bacterial small subunit ribosomal RNA", at positions 338 to 795 of the family's 1533-position model. The record is from RNAcentral.
CCUACGGGCGGCAGCAGUGGGGGAUAUUGCACAAUGGGGGAAACCCUGAUGCAGCGACGCCGCGUGUGGGAAGACGGUCCUCUGGAUUGUAAACCACUGUCCCCAGGGACGAAGAUGACGGUACCUGGGGAGGAAGCUCCGGCUAACUACGUGCCAGCAGCCGCGGUAAUACGUAGGGAGCGAGCGGUGUCCGGAAUUACUGGGUGAAAAGGGAGCGUAGGCGGGGAUGCAAGUUGGGGGUCAAAACUACCGGCUCAACUGGUAGUCGCACUCAAAACUGCAGCUCUUGAGUGAAGUAGAGGCAGGCGGAAUGCCUAGUGUAGCGGUGAAAUGCGUAGAUAUUAGGAGGAACACCAGUGGCGAAGGCGGCCUGCUGGGCUUUUACUGACGCUGAGGCUCGAAAGUGUGGGGAGCAAACAGGAUUAGAUACCCCUGUAGUC